RNAcentral lists this ribosomal RNA (479 nucleotides) under uncultured bacterium. RNAcentral's name for it is "partial 16S ribosomal RNA". It matches the Rfam family "Bacterial small subunit ribosomal RNA", at positions 28 to 507 of the family's 1533-position model. The record is from RNAcentral.
GACGAACGCUGGCGGCGUGCUUAACACAUGCAAGUCGAACGAAGCUUGAUUACGGAUUCUUCGGAUGAAGUAUGAUAUGACUGAGUGGCGGACGGGUGAGUAACGCGUGAGUAACCUGCCCUUCAGAGGGGGAUAGCGUUUGGAAACGAACGGUAAUACCGCAUAAUGUAUUUUGACCGCAUGAUCGAAAUACCAAAGAUUUAUCGCUGAAGGAUGGACUCGCGUCUGAUUAGGUAGUUGGUGGGGUAACGGCCUACCAAGCCGACGAUCAGUAGCCGGACUGAGAGGUUGAUCGGCCACAUUGGGACUGAGACACGGCCCAGACUCCUACGGGGGGCAGCAGUGGGGAAGAUUGCACAAUGGGCGCAAGCCUGAUGCAGCAACGCCGCGUGAAGGAAGACGGUUUUCGGAUUGUAAACUUCUGUUCUUAGGGAAGAAUAAUGACGGUAGCUAAGGAGCAAGCCACGGCUAACUACGUG